AAAAACUCCGGUGGUAUGAGAUGGACCCGCGUCUGAUUAGCUAGUUGGUGGGGUAACGGCCCACCAAGGCGACGAUCAGUAGCCGACCUGAGAGGGUGACCGGCCACAUUGGGACUGAGACACGGCCCAAACUCCUACGGGAGGCAGCAGUGGGGAAUAUUGCACAAUGGGGGAAACCCUGAUGCAGCAACGCCGCGUGAGUGAAGAAGUAUUUCGGUAUGUAAAGCUCUAUCAGCAGGGAAGAAAAUGACGGUACCUGAGUAAGAAGCCCCGGCUAACUACGUGCCAGCAGCCGCGGUAAUACGUAGGGGGCAAGCGUUAUCCGGAUUUACUGGGUGUAAAGGGAGCGUAGACGGCGAUGCAAGUCUGAAGUGAAAGCCCGGGGCUCAACCCCGGGACUGCUUUGGAAACUGUAUGGCUGGAGUGCUGGAGAGGCAAGCGGAAUUCCUAGUGUAGCGGUGAAAUGCGUAGAUAUUAGGAAGAACACCAGUGGCGAAGGCGGCUUGCUGGACAGUAACUGACGUUGAGGCUCGAAAGCGUGGGGAGCAAACAGGAUUAGAUACCCUGGUAGUCCACGCUGUAAACGAUGAAUGCUAGGUGUUGGGGAGCAAAGCUUCUCG
Molecule: ribosomal RNA, 620 nt
Filed under: uncultured bacterium
Lineage: Bacteria
Description: bacterial SSU rRNA
Rfam family: Bacterial small subunit ribosomal RNA
Source: RNAcentral